This 2845-nucleotide ribosomal RNA is filed under the name Salmonella enterica subsp. enterica serovar Enteritidis. Its description in RNAcentral is "bacterial LSU rRNA". It matches the Rfam family "Bacterial large subunit ribosomal RNA". Lineage: Bacteria; Pseudomonadati; Pseudomonadota; Gammaproteobacteria; Enterobacterales; Enterobacteriaceae. The record is from RNAcentral.
GGGUUGUGAGGUUAAGCGACUAAGCGUACACGGUGGAUGCCCUGGCAGUCAGAGGCGAUGAAGGGCGUGCUAAUCUGCGAUAAGCGCCGGUAAGGUGAUAUGAACCGUUAUAACCGGCGAUACCCGAAUGGGGAAACCCAGUGUGAUUCGUCACACUAUCAUUAACUGAAUCCAUAGGUUAAUGAGGCGAACCGGGGGAACUGAAACAUCUAAGUACCCCGAGGAAAAGAAAUCAACCGAGAUUCCCCCAGUAGCGGCGAGCGAACGGGGAGGAGCCCAGAGCCUGAAUCAGCAUGUGUGUUAGUGGAAGCGUCUGGAAAGGCGCGCGAUACAGGGUGACAGCCCCGUACACAAAAGCGCAUGUGCUGUGAGCUCGAUGAGUAGGGCGGGACACGUGGUAUCCUGUCUGAAUAUGGGGGGACCAUCCUCCAAGGCUAAAUACUCCUGACUGACCGAUAGUGAACCAGUACCGUGAGGGAAAGGCGAAAAGAACCCCGGCGAGGGGAGUGAAAAAGAACCUGAAACCGUGUACGUACAAGCAGUGGGAGCNNNNNNNNNNNNNNNNNNNNNNNNNGGGCGUUAAGUUGCAGGGUAUAGACCCGAAACCCGGUGAUCUAGCCAUGGGCAGGUUGAAGGUUGGGUAACACUAACUGGAGGACCGAACCGACUAAUGUUGAAAAAUUAGCGGAUGACCUGUGGCUGGGGGUGAAAGGCCAAUCAAACCGGGAGAUAGCUGGUUCUCCCCGAAAGCUAUUUAGGUAGCGCCUCGUGAAUUCAUCUCCGGGGGUAGAGCACUGUUUCGGCUAGGGGGCCAUCCCGGCUUACCAACCCGAUGCAAACUGCGAAUACCGGAGAAUGUUAUCACGGGAGACACACGGCGGGUGCUAACGUCCGUCGUGAAGAGGGAAACAACCCAGACCGCCAGCUAAGGUCCCAAAGUCAUGGUUAAGUGGGAAACGAUGUGGGAAGGCCCAGACAGCCAGGAUGUUGGCUUAGAAGCAGCCAUCAUUUAAAGAAAGCGUAAUAGCUCACUGGUCGAGUCGGCCUGCGCGGAAGAUGUAACGGGGCUAAACCAUGCACCGAAGCUGCGGCAGCGACACUGUGUGUUGUUGGGUAGGGGAGCGUUCUGUAAGCCUGCGAAGGUGGCCUGUGAGGGUUGCUGGAGGUAUCAGAAGUGCGAAUGCUGACAUAAGUAACGAUAAAGCGGGUGAAAAGCCCGCUCGCCGGAAGACCAAGGGUUCCUGUCCAACGUUAAUCGGGGCAGGGUGAGUCGACCCCUAAGGCGAGGCCGAAAGGCGUAGUCGAUGGGAAACGGGUUAAUAUUCCCGUACUUGGUGUUACUGCGAAGGGGGGACGGAGAAGGCUAUGUUGGCCGGGCGACGGUUGUCCCGGUUUAAGCGUGUAGGUGUGUGUUCCAGGUAAAUCCGGUUCACUUUAACACUGAGGCGUGACGACGAGGCACUACGGUGCUGAAGCAACAAAUGCCCUGCUUCCAGGAAAAGCCUCUAAGCAUCAGGUAACAUCAAAUCGUACCCCAAACCGACACAGGUGGUCAGGUAGAGAAUACCAAGGCGCUUGAGAGAACUCGGGUGAAGGAACUAGGCAAAAUGGUGCCGUAACUUCGGGAGAAGGCACGCUGACACGUAGGUGAAGUGAUUUACUCAUGGAGCUGAAGUCAGUCGAAGAUACCAGCUGGCUGCAACUGUUUAUUAAAAACACAGCACUGUGCAAACACGAAAGUGGACGUAUACGGUGUGACGCCUGCCCGGUGCCGGAAGGUUAAUUGAUGGGGUCAGCGCAAGCGAAGCUCCUGAUCGAAGCCCCGGUAAACGGCGGCCGUAACUAUAACGGUCCUAAGGUAGCGAAAUUCCUUGUCGGGUAAGUUCCGACCUGCACGAAUGGCGUAAUGAUGGCCAGGCUGUCUCCACCCGAGACUCAGUGAAAUUGAACUCGCUGUGAAGAUGCAGUGUACCCGCGGCAAGACGGAAAGACCCCGUGAACCUUUACUAUAGCUUGACACUGAACAUUGAGCCUUGAUGUGUAGGAUAGGUGGGAGGCUUUGAAGUGUGGACGCCAGUCUGCAUGGAGCCGACCUUGAAAUACCACCCUUUAAUGUUUGAUGUUCUAACGUGGACCCGUUACCCGGGUUGCGGACAGUGUCUGGUGGGUAGUUUGACUGGGGCGGUCUCCUCCUAAAGAGUAACGGAGGAGCACGAAGGUUGGCUAAUCCUGGUCGGACAUCAGGAGGUUAGUGCAAUGGCAUAAGCCAGCUUGACUGCGAGCGUGACGGCGCGAGCAGGUGCGAAAGCAGGUCAUAGUGAUCCGGUGGUUCUGAAUGGAAGGGCCAUCGCUCAACGGAUAAAAGGUACUCCGGGGAUAACAGGCUGAUACCGCCCAAGAGUUCAUAUCGACGGCGGUGUUUGGCACCUCGAUGUCGGCUCAUCACAUCCUGGGGCUGAAGUAGGUCCCAAGGGUAUGGCUGUUCGCCAUUUAAAGUGGUACGCGAGCUGGGUUUAGAACGUCGUGAGACAGUUCGGUCCCUAUCUGCCGUGGGCGCUGGAGAACUGAGGGGGGCUGCUCCUAGUACGAGAGGACCGGAGUGGACGCAUCACUGGUGUUCGGGUUGUCAUGCCAAUGGCACUGCCCGGUAGCUAAAUGCGGAAGAGAUAAGUGCUGAAAGCAUCUAAGCACGAAACUUGCCCCGAGAUGAGUUCUCCCUGAGACUUAGAGUCUCCUGAAGGAACGUUGAAGACGACGACGUUGAUAGGCCGGGUGUGUAAGCGCAGCGAUGCGUUGAGCUAACCGGUACUAAUGAACCGUGAGGCUUAACCUUACAACGCCGAAG